This 648-nucleotide long non-coding RNA is filed under the name Homo sapiens (human). Its description in RNAcentral is "HSALNT0213448". Lineage: Eukaryota; Metazoa; Chordata; Mammalia; Primates; Hominidae. The record is from RNAcentral.
GGACUGUGAAAAGUUUAUUUGUUAAUUACAGCUUGAGUAUCCCUUAUCUAAAAUGUGUGGAACCAGGUUGAAUUUCAAAAUAUUUGCAUAUACAUAAUGAGAGAUCUUGGGAAUGCAACUGAAGUCUAGCCAUUAAAUUCACUUAGGUUUCACAUACACAUAGUCUGAAGGUGAUUUUAUACAAUGUUUUUAAUAAUUUUGUACAUGAAACAAAGUUUUUGACUGCAUUUUGACUUCAACCCAUUACAUGCAGCCAGGUGUGGAAUUUUCCACUUGUGGCAUCAUGUCGCCAUUCUCGCCAUUCAAAAUCUUUUGCAUUUUAGGCAGGGUGCGGUGGCUCCCACCUGUAAUCCCAGCACUUUGGGAGGCCGAGGUGGGUGGAUCACCUGAGGUCAGGAGUUCGAGACCAGUCUGGCCAAUAUGGCGAAACCUCUUCACUAAUAAAAAAUAUAUAUAUAAGGCUGGGUGCGGUGGCUCAUGUCUGUAAUCCCAGCACUUUCGGAGGCUGAGGUGGGCAGAUCACGAGGUCAGGAGAUCGAGACCAUCCUGGCUAACACAGUGAAACCCCGUCUCUACUAAAAAUACAAAAAAUUAGCCGGGCGUCAUGCGGGCGCCUGUAGUCCCAGCUACUCAGGAGGCUGAGGCAGG